This 85-nucleotide transfer RNA is filed under the name Rhodocyclaceae bacterium. RNAcentral's name for it is "tRNA-Leu". It matches the Rfam family "tRNA". Rfam says of the family: Transfer RNA (tRNA) molecules are approximately 80 nucleotides in length. Their secondary structure includes four short double-helical elements and three loops (D, anti-codon, and T loops). RNAcentral also lists the same sequence under 1 other name. Lineage: Bacteria; Pseudomonadati; Pseudomonadota; Betaproteobacteria; Rhodocyclales; Rhodocyclaceae. The record is from RNAcentral.
GCCCAGGUGGCGAAAUUGGUAGACGCACCAGAUUUAGGUUCUGGCGCCGUAAGGUGUGGAGGUUCGAGUCCUCUCCUGGGCACCA